Molecule: ribosomal RNA, 440 nt
Filed under: uncultured bacterium
Lineage: Bacteria
Description: partial 16S ribosomal RNA
Rfam family: Bacterial small subunit ribosomal RNA
Source: RNAcentral
CCUACGGGAGGCAGCAGUGGGGAAUAUUGGACAAUGGGGGGAACCCUGAUCCAGCGACGCCGCGUGAGUGAAGAAGUAUUUCGGUAUGUACAGCUCUAUCAGCAGGGAAGAAAAUGACGGUACCUGACUAAGAAGCCCCGGCUAACUACGUGACAGCAGCCGCGGUAAUACGUAGGGGGCAAGCGUUAUCCGGAUUUACUGGGUGUAAAGGGAGCGUAGACGGGGCAGCAAGUCUGAUGUGAAAGGUCGGGGCCCAACCCCGGGACUGCAUUGGAAACUGUUGAACUGGAGUGCAGGAGAGGUAAGCGGAAUGCCUAGUGUAGCGGUGAAAUGCGUAGAUAUAAGGAAGAACACCAGUGGCGAAGGCGGCUUACUGGACUGUAACUGACGUUGAGGCUCGAAAGCAUGGGGAGCGAACAGGAUUAGAUACCCCAGUAGUC